UGGGAUAGCUCAGUUGGUAGAGCAGAGG
RNAcentral lists this transfer RNA (28 nucleotides) under Tripodanthus flagellaris. RNAcentral describes it as "partial tRNA-Phe". Lineage: Eukaryota; Viridiplantae; Streptophyta; Magnoliopsida; Santalales; Loranthaceae. The record is from RNAcentral.